Molecule: long non-coding RNA, 1146 nt
Filed under: Triticum aestivum (bread wheat)
Lineage: Eukaryota; Viridiplantae; Streptophyta; Magnoliopsida; Poales; Poaceae
Description: long non-coding RNA (TAES_LNC015665)
Source: RNAcentral
CACGGAAAAAAUAAUCGGUAACGGGAGUGUCGAAUCAAGCGAAGCUCUUCAGAUUAUGUGGUCUAUUUGCUCCUUUCCCCCUUUCCCCUUUUUGAUUUUCAGAUCCGCUUUGCUUAACCUCAAUCCCCAACUGAUAUUCAGCACGUCCACCAUAUGGAGGAGGAACUGCCCGAGGAGAUUAUCAAUCCGAAGUUCUGCGGCAUAGAUACCUCGUCUGUCCACAGAAGCUUAUCCCUGCUUAUCCUCGCAUCUCACCCUAUCUGCAGCACUAGGACGAACUCUCGGUGAAGUUCCUCGAUCCGGAGUACAUCCGGAGUAUUGCGGGAUAGACAUCUCAUCUGGCCCGUAAGGUUGAUGUCGUCCUAGCAGGUACAGGGAGGAGAUUCCUAGGUGAGUGUAUUAAGUGUUUCUCCAUUGAUUCGGACGCAGCUUCAGUGCCUAAAGGCACCUGCCUUUGGGUCCUUGACAUGUGGGCCAGCCACCUGUUGGACCCACAUGUCAUAGGCACAAAGGCAUGUGCCUUAAGGCACCGAAGCGCAGUCCCAUUGAUUCAUAUUUUGUUCCCCUUAGACAUUUUGAUUUUUUACUUUGAAUCCACUCUGAUAGGUUGCGAUUCACUAAUGGAGAAGGCCUACUUAGAUGUAUUGACAGAGAGAAGCAACAUGGAGUUUGACCACUAGCAGCUUGUGAACAAGCUGAAGAACAUAAUAUAUGACAAUAAUUCGCAAUGAAAUUAGGAUGUCAACGAGGUUGGAUUUUCAGACUAAGCAAUGUGUGGCAUCUAAUUCUUCAAUUGUUAUCCUUCCUGCCGUGUUGUCUUAUGUUCGUCCUGUCUACGUAGGAUUUAGUUUAAUGGUUCAGAGUGGCUGUAUCAAUUUCCUAGAUUACCUUGUGUCACUUGUAUCAUUACUACAAAAUAUCAUGUUUUGAUGCACUGGAAUAUGCAUAGUUUAAUACAACCUCGCUCUCAAAAUAAGUGUCUCAAUUUCAGUUUUGAUACACUUAUUUUGGGAUUUAAGGAGUAUGGUACUACAAUUUGGGUAACUGACCAGGAUGUAUUGAGAUUGUGCUUGCGAGCCUGGAUUGAUGUCAUUUUUGUAACUGGACUUAUUCAAUAAAGUUCAGUACAUUCCACUAGUAAAGUGC